CCCAAAGGUUUGAAUAAUUAAAUUCAAACCUAUAGUUUUUUUUAAUAUAAUUUUGGGACUCACAAUCCCAUUUUUAUAUUAUUUUUCUCUCUUCCUCUCACGUUGCUCGGCGUUUUCUCACAAGGGGGGAUUAUUUUCUUUUUCUUCAGAUUAUAUUGACAAAGAUAGUGGUGAAAAAGGAGUUGUGAAGGGGAACUUGUUAUUCAAGACACAAGGAGCGAAUCCGGCCGAGAAAGUACCAGAGGUGUAAUUAUGGUGUAUGAGACACCAUCUUUUAUGUUGCCUCUUAUUUUGGAUUAUACAAUGUAUCUUGUGCCAACUUAGGACAUAUCUUGUCUAUGGAGCAUGUAAACUCUAAUCCUUUUUAUUAAAUGCAUUUAUAUGUCCAAGAGGAUUAUGUCUGUCCCUUUUGAUUCAUGACCUAAUUUAA
Molecule: long non-coding RNA, 430 nt
Organism: Prosopis cineraria
Lineage: Eukaryota; Viridiplantae; Streptophyta; Magnoliopsida; Fabales; Fabaceae
Exons: 3
Source: RefSeq, a predicted model, not a curated record